GGGCGAUUAGCUCAGUUGGCCAGAGCACCUCGUUUACACCGAGGGUGUCGGGGGUUCGAGUCCCUCAUCGCCCA
Molecule: transfer RNA, 74 nt
Filed under: Phycisphaerae bacterium
Lineage: Bacteria; Pseudomonadati; Planctomycetota; Phycisphaerae
Description: tRNA-Val
Rfam family: tRNA
About the family: Transfer RNA (tRNA) molecules are approximately 80 nucleotides in length. Their secondary structure includes four short double-helical elements and three loops (D, anti-codon, and T loops).
Source: RNAcentral